UGAUCCAAGGAGCGUUGCAGCGGCAUUCAAUGCCGUCAGGCUUGGAUGUCCCAACGACGCUCACCUGUU
This 69-nucleotide non-coding RNA is filed under the name Curvibacter sp. Its description in RNAcentral is "SAH sequence". It matches the Rfam family "SAH (S-adenosyl-L-homocysteine) riboswitch aptamer". Lineage: Bacteria; Pseudomonadati; Pseudomonadota; Betaproteobacteria; Burkholderiales; Comamonadaceae. The record is from RNAcentral.